AGAGUUGAUCCUGGCUUAGGAUGAACGCUGGCGGCGUGCCUAACACAUGCAAGUCGAGCGAUUACUUCGGUAAAGAGCGGCGGACGGGUGAGUAACGCGUGGGUAACCUGCCUCAUACACAUGGAUAACAUACCGAAAGGUAUGCUAAUACAGGAUAAUAUAAGAGAUUCACAUGGAUUUCUUAUCAAAGCUCCGGCGGUAUGAGAUGGACCCGCGUCUGAUUAGCUAGUUGGUAAGGUAAUGGCUUACCAAGGCGACGAUCAGUAGCCGACCUGAGAGGGUGAUCGGCCACAUUGGAACUGAGACACGGUCCAAACUCCUACGGGAGGCAGCAGGGGGGAAUAUUGCACAAUGGGCGAAAGCCUGAUGCCAGCAACGCCGCGUGAGUGAUGAAGGCUUUCGGGUCGUAAAACUCUGUCCUCAAGGAAGAUAAUGACGGUACUUGAGGAGGAAGCCCCGGCUAACUACGUGCCAGCAGCCGC
Molecule: ribosomal RNA, 482 nt
Filed under: uncultured bacterium
Lineage: Bacteria
Description: bacterial SSU rRNA
Rfam family: Bacterial small subunit ribosomal RNA
Source: RNAcentral